RNAcentral lists this ribosomal RNA (1054 nucleotides) under Acinetobacter sp. RNAcentral describes it as "bacterial SSU rRNA". It matches the Rfam family "Bacterial small subunit ribosomal RNA", at positions 423 to 1469 of the family's 1533-position model. The record is from RNAcentral. Lineage: Bacteria; Pseudomonadati; Pseudomonadota; Gammaproteobacteria; Moraxellales; Moraxellaceae.
UUGUAAAGCACCUUUAAGCGAGGAGGAGGCUACUUGGAUUAAUACUCUAGGAUAGUGGACGUUACUCGCAGAAUAAGCACCGGCUAACUCUGUGCCAGCAGCCGCGGUAAUACAGAGGGUGCGAGCGUUAAUCGGAUUUACUGGGCGUAAAGCGUGCGUAGGCGGCUUUUUAAGUCGGAUGUGAAAUCCCUGAGCUUAACUUAGGAAUUGCAUUCGAUACUGGGAAGCUAGAGUAUGGGAGAGGAUGGUAGAAUUCCAGGUGUAGCGGUGAAAUGCGUAGAGAUCUGGAGGAAUACCGAUGGCGAAGGCAGCCAUCUGGCCUAAUACUGACGCUGAGGUACGAAAGCAUGGGGAGCAAACAGGAUUAGAUACCCUGGUAGUCCAUGCCGUAAACGAUGUCUACUAGCCGUUGGGGCCUUUGAGGCUUUAGUGGCGCAGCUAACGCGAUAAGUAGACCGCCUGGGGAGUACGGUCGCAAGACUAAAACUCAAAUGAAUUGACGGGGGCCCGCACAAGCGGUGGAGCAUGUGGUUUAAUUCGAUGCAACGCGAAGAACCUUACCUGGUCUUGACAUAGUAAGAACUUUCCAGAGAUGGAUUGGUGCCUUCGGGAACUUACAUACAGGUGCUGCAUGGCUGUCGUCAGCUCGUGUCGUGAGAUGUUGGGUUAAGUCCCGCAACGAGCGCAACCCUUUUCCUUAUUUGCCAGCGGGUUAAGCCGGGAACUUUAAGGAUACUGCCAGUGACAAACUGGAGGAAGGCGGGGACGACGUCAAGUCAUCAUGGCCCUUACGACCAGGGCUACACACGUGCUACAAUGGUCGGUACAAAGGGUUGCUACCUAGCGAUAGGAUGCUAAUCUCAAAAAGCCGAUCGUAGUCCGGAUUGGAGUCUGCAACUCGACUCCAUGAAGUCGGAAUCGCUAGUAAUCGCGGAUCAGAAUGCCGCGGUGAAUACGUUCCCGGGCCUUGUACACACCGCCCGUCACACCAUGGGAAUUUGUUGCACCAGAAGUAGGUAGUCUAACCGCAAGGAGGACGCUACCACGGUUCCCA